Molecule: ribosomal RNA, 492 nt
Filed under: uncultured bacterium
Lineage: Bacteria
Description: partial 16S ribosomal RNA
Rfam family: Bacterial small subunit ribosomal RNA
Source: RNAcentral
AGUGAACGCUGGCGGUAGGCCUAACACAUGCAAGUCGAACGGCAGCACAGUAAGAGCUUGCUCUUACGGGUGGCGAGUGGCGGACGGGCGAGGAAUACAUCGGAAUCUACUUUUUCGUGGGGGAUAACGUAGGGAAACUUACGCUAAUACCGCAUACGACCUACGGGUGAAAGCAGGGGAUCUUCGGACCUUGCGCGAUUGAAUGAGCCGAUGUCGGAUUAGCUAGUUGGCGGGGUAAAGGCCCACCAAGGCGACGAUCCGUAGCUGGUCUGAGAGGAUGAUCAGCCACACUGGAACUGAGACACGGUCCAGACUCCUACGGGAGGCAGCAGUGGGGAAUAUUGGACAAUGGGCGCAAGCCUGAUCCAGCCAUACCGCGUGGGUGAAGAAGGCCUUCGGGUUGUAAAGCCCUUUUGCUGGGAAAGAAAAGCAGCAGGUUAAUACCCCGCUGUUCUGACGGUACCCAAAGAAUAAGCACCGGCUAACUUCGUG